Molecule: transfer RNA, 66 nt
Filed under: human gut metagenome
Also listed under: 1 other name
Rfam family: tRNA
About the family: Transfer RNA (tRNA) molecules are approximately 80 nucleotides in length. Their secondary structure includes four short double-helical elements and three loops (D, anti-codon, and T loops).
Source: RNAcentral
UGUUAUGGCUCAGUAGGUAGAGCACCACCUUGGUAAGGUGGAGGUCCCGGGUUCGAAUCCCGGUAA